Molecule: non-coding RNA, 5626 nt
Organism: Sturnus vulgaris (Common starling)
Lineage: Eukaryota; Metazoa; Chordata; Aves; Passeriformes; Sturnidae
Source: RefSeq, a predicted model, not a curated record
AGAAGUUAUCUGGAGUUUAUUUAUGCAUCUGUCCAGGGAUUCCUGAGACCUUCAGAAUUAGCAGUGGGGUAUUUCAGGGUGUGGAUUCUCUCAGUCCUCUGUGGGUAUAACUGCACAUCUUUCUUCCCAGCACCUCUGAGCCUGCCAGACCCCAGUGCUCAUUCCUCUCCUGUGUAUGCCUGUGCCCAGAAAGGGCCGUGCCUGCUUGAGCUCCUAAACAGGAAUAUGUAUAAAUCUAGUGCAGCACUAGGCUGAAACUGUGGUUGGAUACUAAGGAUACUGGAAAUUGCGAAGAAAGUCCAUUUAUUUUUCUUAGACAUUUAUUGUUUCUUUAUACAUUGCUCAAUAAUUGAGUGAACUCUUUCAUACAAAGUCUAGUCAACUUCAAAAAAUAUAUUAAGCAGCUUCAGACUCUAUUCCUAUGCUGGCCUUUUUUUCUCAUUUUAUUUUGAAAAUAUUUUCAUUCCAGGGUUGGUGUGGGAAGAACUCCCUGCCCAGAGUUACCACUAGUAAAAUGGAGCAAAGGGCCAACUCCUGUCAAAUCUGGAACAUAAGCAGUGGAAAACUAGAAGUGGCUAAAGUUUAUUUUAAGGAGACUUAAUACAAACCAAGGGACUGAUUAUCAUUUGCACUUUAAGCUUUGUUGCAUGGCUCCUUUAACACAGUGUGGAGUUUGAAAGUGAGUAAAUAUAAACAGAAUUCACAGUGACACACUUCACAGCCUUCUUGCACCCUGUGCCUCUUAUAAAGGAGCCUCACAUUUAAUAAGCAUCUGAUGCCUGGUAUUCUUGUUCUUUCUUUACGUCGUCAUUUCAUAAUGAUGCGACUUAAAAAGCUAUGUAGGAGGUGCCAGAGAACUCCAUGAUUCCACUUGUAAGGAGGAAAUGAUGAACAUGAUGAACUUAAAAGGAAAGAGGGGAAGAGAAAAACGUGGAAAGGUUGCUAAGAUUCAAUCUGGGGGAGAAAAACACUGAAUUUUGUCUAACAUCAGAGAUCCCAGAUUACAACAUCUGAUAAUUUUCGUUUCCUGAAAAGAUAUCUUUAGGCUAGGCUUUUAACAUGCUAGGGAUGCAGGACACCCAAGUAGAUACUUAUUGGCAUUUUCAGAACCACCUGGACACUGAAACUCUGAAUCAGCAUUUUAGAUAGCUGAACAAUGUAUAAUUCAGCCCCCGAUGCUCCUGAGGUUCUCAAGAAAUUAAUUGGAUGUGCGUUGCCAUAAUCAAGGAGAGUGAGGGUUGUUAUGCUAGUCCUUACAGUCUGUCAUUUGUUUUGUCACCAUGUUAUUACUGCUAUUCAAAGUAACUGAUAAGAUAAAUAAAAAUAUGAUACCAUCUUGCUGCAAGAUUUUCUGAAAAUAUUUCAGAACAGAGUCAGUGGGUCUGAAUAUUUUAUGCAAGUCAAAUUAACCUCAUACAUAAAAAGUUUUACUGUCAUGCACAACAAGUGGGCUGCAUAGAAAAAGGUGGGCCAGCAAGUGAUUCUGUCAUCCAGCUACACUGAGUCAUCUAAAGGUGUGAGGGAAAGCAAACCCCUCCAGAUGCAGCCCUAUUGAUUUCCUCAGCUAUGUGCUGUGUGUAGAUGCUGAACUAAAUAAUUUAACAAUGGUCUUAGGUCAACUGAGGUGGAAGUUAGUGGCUGUAUGCCUUUGUAGUGACACAAAGUAACUGUGAGCAAAACUGGGCAAGCUUGGAAAACGCACACUCUGAUGACGAGGUUAAUAUUAUUUUUUUAUUGCACAGCCACAGCCAAACACUGUGAUCCACCAGUUUGCCAGCAGCCACCUUCUCCCACUGCAGAGAGAUUCUCAGGCAUCAUGUUUUCCAGGAAAAGCAUCUCUGUAUAUGCAGCCUUACUGAACUUUCUAAGCAGGAGAAUCCUGAAAUUACGUUUGUUUUUAUUUUGCAAGGCCAAAAUUCCUAUUGCAGGUUCCUCUGGAGAUGGGUGAGUCAGUGCUGAGACAGUUCCUGUACUGCCUGGGUGCAGCACUGAACCACCAAAGAGAGCUGUAGAUGCAGCUGAACCUUCAAGCAUUACAACCGUGGUCUUUAUUAUGGUUGAGGUUUUUGAGGGAAAAGAUUAAAUCAGCUCAUUUCCGAAUGAGAUGUGUGCACUAAUGGCACAUGAAACUUAGUCGUGUGUCUGUUGCUACAGUCAACAUUUUAAAUCCUCUGCAGAUGGAGAGAUUUUUGGAAAUGUUGCUUGCUAAUUGUCCUAUUAUGCUAUGCAAAAAAAAAAUUCAAAAACUCAGUGAUCAGAUAAUUCUCUUAGUUUUUUUCCCUUGUGCUAGAACAUCUUAUUCUGCCUACUGCUGAUGAAUGUGAAUUCAUUCUGGUGUCUAAAAUGUGGUCCAGCUUGAAAAGAGAUAGUAAAACGCAAUAAGAUAACAUGGGGUUAACUUUCCCUGGGGAAUGAACCAGCUAUGAUUUAUUAAAGGGCAGGGCCUGAUUUUCAUGUAUGUGGAAGCUCCUGUGUAUAGCUCUGGUAGUCAGAAGAAGCCACAAUUUAAACAAGAAUGACCAUCUCAGCAGUCAUAAUUGUUUUAUAUAUAUAAACAAUUGCAACAAGUUUAUCACUAGCCAGGAAUUGCCCAGCUGCAACAUUCAGCUCUGAAGUUUAGGAAUAACUAAACAGUUAUUGCUAACCUAAAGUAUGAAGACCAGACCUCCAAAACCUUCUCCAAAGGCUGUUUUUAAAAUGUGAUUUGGAAGUGUUCAUUUGUUAUUUUGAAGAGGACUCAUUUGAGUUCACUUCAUGUACGUUCUGCCUUUUUAGGCCACAGAAAUCACAAAGUGCAGAUUUUUUUUUCUGCUUUUUUUGUUGUAAACAGAAGCUGAGAUGUAGUUGUAUAUUUAUAGGAUUACAAGGCCCAUGACUCUUAAGAUGGCAUGAAGUAUCAUGAGACUUGUGGUAUGUGUGUUUGAGAGUUGGCAAGACUGUAAAGAAUUAUUUUUAUUGCCAGAAUGGUUAAGACAUGACUCUGGUUAUAUGGAAAGUGCAGAACGUACUCAGUAAUGUAAGGCUCUUUUCAUAACAGAACAUUUCAUUAUGUUUAUGCUUGUAAAGUGAAACAAGCAGCAAAGAAAAUGUAGGUCAAGUGCGAUUCAUAGCAAAACAGUUACAGGUUUUAUCUUAAAGGUGCAGUUUAGGUGAUGUUAAGUACUGUUUUCUUUCGUUAAGUGCAAAACUGCAUACCUAGGAGGUUCUCGCCACUGAAGAGGAAGGCAACAUGCAAGCCUUAUGCUAGGAAUUGAAACAUCUGUCGUUUUGAGUCUUUCCCUGAAUGUUAGUUAAGCUUUGGAGAGAUCCUCUUCUUUUCUUGUUUAAGCAUAACCUGCUGUUUAUAGCAAGUGAAAAGGCACUUUGGGGAAAAGAGCUACUGCGCAAAAAGAGAAGUACAAGAGUGUCAUACCAAUUUGGCAGUAUUGCACUUCUCUGUGUGGCAGGCUGCCCAAGAGUCUCAUGCACCAAGUCUCCAAACAGAAGGUGUUUAAGAUGAUGCAUUAGCUUGUGCCCUUGGGCACAGGAAGCAUUGUUGCCUGGGUGCUCCCUCCAUCACUUGCCAGCUCUGUUUCAGACAACCUCCUAGCAUCAGAAUAAACAUCAGUUUUGAGAGAUGCUUCGCAGCGUAAGGCUGGGGAACCAGCAUCUCCAGAGCAGGAGUGAGACAGGAGGAUCUCAAAUGGGUUUAAAUGUGCCUGCCUGGGAAGAGAAGAUUGGGUUCCAGGAGUAAAUCUCAAGAGAGGGUGGAAGGCUCAAAGUGUCAGGAUGUUGUGAGUGCCCAAAUGUCUCUCCUUGGCUCUGUGUCUAGUCUGCAGGCAGAUUUUGCAUCUUUUCUUCUGCAUUGUCGAGAGAAUUACAUAUCAAGUUCCACCUCCAGGGUCGCAUCAUAUUUGCACUAACGCCAGGAAGACAAGGAAAUGCUUUAGCUCUUCCUGACGGCUUCACUGCAGCAGAUGCAGAAAAAGAGAAAACCCAGCAUGACUUCCAGGUCUGAGCAGGGCUGAUGUCAAACAAAAGCACCUUUAUAGGUAAAAUGUACGUGCGCCAAAUGCCUGUACACUUCAUGGCUGGUGCAACCAUGAAGCAUUUCCGCUUCUGGGUUGAUUUCCCUGUUUUCUGAUGCAUCACGUUAAUAAAAUCCAGGUUCCUCCUCGGAAACAUGGCUUGUGAAAGCGCCUGCAAUGCCUGUCCCCAGGGCGGGAACUGAGGAACUGAACUGCAGGAGGCUCGGUGUACUUUGGCAGAUGUUUACAACAUGUCACCUUAUAAAAUCACAUGGAAAGGUUGGCGUGAAUUCCUGUUAAUGCCUUUCCUUUCUUGUGUUGCUGUUGGCUUUCAGCAUGUGUGGAGCGAAAGUGAGGACUGCUUACCUUUUCUGCAGCUCGCACAGGACUACAUCUCCUCCUGUGGGAAAAAGACACUCCAUGAAAUACUGGAAAAAGUCUUCAAAUCCUUCAGACCCUUACUUGGGCUUCCAGAUGUUGAUGAUGAUGCAUUUGAAGAAUAUAACGCAGAUGUGGAAGAAGAGGAACCAGAAGCCGAUCACCAACAGAUGGGUGUCAGUCAGCAGUGAUUUUCUGAGAAGCUAUAAAAAAAUUCGGAAGCCUUUGGUACCAGGUGGGGUCAGGUGGUCCCACAUUAGCCUGUUUGAAUUAGCACAUCACAGGGGGAUGUCUGGCUGCCAAGAUAAAAGUUUUACAAAAAAAUGGUUUUAAAAAAACAAAAUAAUAAUAAUCCGUGAUGAGCUUUGCUAAGAAGUGACCUGAAUUUUGCUCCUGCUUCAGUGGGUUUUCUAUGGAGUUGUCUUGGUAGCAUUCUGCCGUUAUCAGUCUAGAAGUAGUUUUGUUGCUGACUUGUCUCUUUGAUUUGUGUUCGAGAGUAGUGUUUGCUGACAUGAAUGUAGAGUACUGAGAAUGUAGGAGGCAUGUGGGGAGAGUGCUGAGUCCUCACUCGUGACCUUUCCAAGGAAAUCUGCGCAGAGAGCAAACACCACCUGCGCUUUUCUUUUUAGUUCAACAGCUAUAGGUUUUUGACAAAGUACCAAAUGUGGGCAAACUUCUGAAAAACAGUAGUUUAGUAGUGAUUGGUGCUGCAGGAGUGCAUAUGAAGGCUUAACAAAAAUAAUGGGGAGUAGGAAAUCGGGGGAGCAUCAGACAUAUUGAUGUAAUUUCACUGACACCUGAGUUUCCAAGUGCUGAAUGAAUAACUGGGAGUAACAGCCACCAGGAGCACGCAUUAUAACCAGCCCUGGUACUCUGACACCAUGUGAUCCAAAGGCAAGUGCUGCUUUCUUACAAAUAAAGUAAAAAAUAGCCGUUGCCUAUCCCACUUCUGCAUGACAACUAACUUUAAGCUUUGCUGGUUUUGGUACACUGCCAAAUUAUUGCUCAAACCUCGUGGCAUUGUGCAUUGGAAUCAUAGAAUAUGCUGAGUUGGAAGAGACCCAUCAGGAUCCUUGAGUCCAACUCUUGGCCCUGCACAGGCACCCUAAGAGUCACACCACGUGCCUGAGAGCAUUGAGUCCAAAUGCUUCUUGAAUUCUGUCGGGUUUGUGCUGUGACCAGUUCCCUGGGGAGCCUGUUCCAGUGCCCAACCACUCAGGAACCUUUUCCUGAUAUCCAGC